UACGAAGGGAGCUAGCGUUGUUCGGAAUCACUGGGCGUAAAGCGCACGUAGGCGGAUGUGUCAGUCAGGGUGAAAUCCCGGAGCUCAACUUCGGAACUGCCCUUGAUACAGCACGUCUUGAGUCCGGAAGAGGUGGGUGGAAUUCCUAGUGUAGAGGUGAAAAUUCGUAGAUAUUAGGAAGAACACCGUGGCGAAGGCGGCCCACUGGUCCGGUACCUGACGCUGAGGUGCGAAAGCG
RNAcentral lists this ribosomal RNA (238 nucleotides) under uncultured bacterium. Its description in RNAcentral is "partial 16S ribosomal RNA". It matches the Rfam family "Bacterial small subunit ribosomal RNA", at positions 524 to 761 of the family's 1533-position model. The record is from RNAcentral.